Oreochromis aureus is the source of this 458-nucleotide long non-coding RNA. RefSeq lists it as uncharacterized. NCBI's taxonomy places the organism in Eukaryota, Metazoa, Chordata, Actinopteri, Cichliformes, Cichlidae. The record is from RefSeq and is a predicted model, not a curated record. The transcript is spliced from 4 exons.
AAAAGAUCUGACAGCGUCAUCAAAGAACCAGCUUGCAGGAAACAAAAUGAGAGUGAUUCCGAAUGGGUUCGAGCAAAUUUGGGUCCAUUCGUCCAAUCCACAGCAAUCUCUGAUCUCAAAGACUUCAACAUCUCUACGGUGGCAGUUUUGGACCUUCUAUCACCGUUGCAGAAGGCUUAUCUGAUCCUAGGUCCAAACAGUAGUGUCUUAAACAGUAAGGAUGUUGUAAGGAAGGUGUUGACAAGCUUGACAGAGACCAGUGAUUAUGAGCAGCUCAAACAAUUUUUCGCGGCUUUUGCAAACAUCAACAUACAGAGAAAUGUCACCCUCAUCCAAAAUCCAGAUGUGCGAGACACUAUUUUGAACCUGACCUUGACGGCCCUUGCUCCUCAGCUUAAAGACUUUCAGCCAGAAGACUAUCAACUGUGGUUCCAGGUUUAUUUGGUUCCUGUGAUGGC